UACAUGCAAGUCGAGCGAACAGACGAGGAGCUUGCUCCUCUGACGUUAGCGGCGGACGGGUGAGUAACACGUGGAUAACCUACCUAUAAGACUGGGAUAACUUCGGGAAACCGGAGCUAAUACCGGAUAAUAUAUUGAACCGCAUGGUUCAAUAGUGAAAGACGGUUUUGCUGUCACUUAUAGAUGGAUCCGCGCCGCAUUAGCUAGUUGGUAAGGUAACGGCUUACCAAGGCAACGAUGCGUAGCCGACCUGAGAGGGUGAUCGGCCACACUGGAACUGAGACACGGUCCAGACUCCUACGGGAGGCAGCAGUAGGGAAUCUUCCGCAAUGGGCGAAAGCCUGACGGAGCAACGCCGCGUGAGUGAUGAAGGUCUUCGGAUCGUAAAACUCUGUUAUUAGGGAAGAACAAAUGUGUAAGUAACUAUGCACGUCUUGACGGUACCUAAUCAGAAAGCCACGGCUAACUACGUGCCAGCAGCCGCGGUAAUACGUAGGUGGCAAGCGUUAUCCGGAAUUAUUGGGCGUAAAGCGCGCGUAGGCGGUUUUUUAAGUCUGAUGUGAAAGCCCACGGCUCAACCGUGGAGGGUCAUUGGAAAC
RNAcentral lists this ribosomal RNA (599 nucleotides) under Staphylococcus epidermidis. RNAcentral's name for it is "bacterial SSU rRNA". It matches the Rfam family "Bacterial small subunit ribosomal RNA", at positions 52 to 633 of the family's 1533-position model. Lineage: Bacteria; Bacillati; Bacillota; Bacilli; Caryophanales; Staphylococcaceae. The record is from RNAcentral.